Molecule: non-coding RNA, 74 nt
Organism: Podarcis lilfordi (Lilford's wall lizard)
Lineage: Eukaryota; Metazoa; Chordata; Lepidosauria; Squamata; Lacertidae
Source: the annotation of a GenBank genome assembly
GAAGAGCCAUAGCUCAGUGGUGGAGCAUCUGCCUUGCCAGCAGACGGUCCCAAGUUCAAUCCCUGGCAUCUUCA